Molecule: ribosomal RNA, 510 nt
Filed under: uncultured bacterium
Lineage: Bacteria
Description: partial 16S ribosomal RNA
Rfam family: Bacterial small subunit ribosomal RNA
Source: RNAcentral
GGGGGGGGGGGGGGGGGGGGGGGGGGGGGGGGGGGCGGGGGGGGGGGGGUGGGGGCGGGGGGCGGGCAGGGUGGGCGGCGGACGGGGGGGGAACGCGUAAUCAGCCGGCCCGGCAGAGGGGGACAACAGUUGGGAACGACUGCUAAUACCGCAUACGCGCUCAUCUCGGCAUCGAGGAUAGGUGACAGGCGGCCCCUCCAUGUCAGCUAGCACUGCAUGCGGGGAUUGCGUCGGAUUAGCUCGUGGGCGGGGUAACGGCCCCCCACGGCGAUGAUCAGUAGCCGGUCUGAGAGGAUGAACGGCCACAUUGGGACUGAGACACGGCCCAGACUCCUACGGGAGGCGGCAGUGGGGAAUCUUCCGCAAUGGACGAAAGUCUGACGGAGAAACGCCGCGUGAGUGAUGACGGCCUUCGGGUUGUAAAGCUCUGUUAAUCGGGACGAAAGGCCUUCUUGCGAAUAGUGAGAAGGAUUGACGGUACCGGAAUAGAAAGCCACGGCUAACUACGUG